RNAcentral lists this ribosomal RNA (447 nucleotides) under uncultured bacterium. RNAcentral's name for it is "bacterial SSU rRNA". It matches the Rfam family "Bacterial small subunit ribosomal RNA", at positions 355 to 825 of the family's 1533-position model. The record is from RNAcentral.
UGGGGAAUUUUGGACAAUGGGCGCAAGCCUGAUCCAGCCAUGCCGCGUGAGUGACGAAGGUCUUCGGAUUGUAAAACUCUUUUGGCGGGGACGAUAAUGACGGUACCCGCAGAAUAAGCCCCGGCUAACUUCGUGCCAGCAGCCGCGGUAAUACGAAGGGGGCUAGCGUUGUUCGGAAUCACUGGGCGUAAAGCGCACGUAGGCGGAUGUGCCAGUCAGGGGUGAAAUCCCGGAGCUCAACUCCGGAACUGCCUCUGAUACUGCACGUCUUGAGUUCGAGAGAGGUGGGUGGAAUUCCUAGUGUAGCGGUGAAAUGCGUAGAUAUCAAGAGGAACACCUGAGGUGAAGACGGGUUGCUGGGCUGACACUGACGCUGAGGCGCGAAAGCCAGGGGAGCAAACGGGAUUAGAUACCCGUGUAGUCCCUGAGCGGGCUGGCAAGGCGCAU